GACGAACGCUGGCGGCGUGCUUAACACAUGCAAGUCGAGCGGUAAGGCCCUUUCGGGGGUACACGAGCGGCGAACGGGUGAGUAACACGUGGGUGACCUGCCCUUAGCUCUGGGAUAAGCCUGGGAAACUGGGUCUAAUACCGGAUAUGACUCCAUGACGCAUGUUGUGGGGUGAAAGCCUUGUGCGGCUAGGGAUGGGCCCGCGGCCUAUCAGCUUGUUGGUGGGGUGAUGGCCACCAAGGCGACGACGGGUAGCCGGCCUGAGAGGGCGACCGGCCACACUGGGACUGAGACACGGCCCAGACUCCUACGGGAGGCAGCAGUGGGGAAUCUUGCGCAAUGGGCGAAAGCCUGACGCAGCGACGCCGCGUGAGGGAU
Molecule: ribosomal RNA, 378 nt
Filed under: uncultured bacterium
Lineage: Bacteria
Description: bacterial SSU rRNA
Rfam family: Bacterial small subunit ribosomal RNA
Source: RNAcentral